GGUUAAGCGACUAAGCGUACACGGUGGAUGCCCUGGCAGUCAGAGGCGAUGAAGGACGUGCUAAUCUGCGAAAAGCGACGGCGAGGUGAUAUGAACCCUUGACCCGUCGAUGUCCGAAUGGGGAAACCCAGUGUGUUUCGACACACUAUCGUUAACUGAAUACAUAGGUUAACGAGGCGAACCGGGGGAACUGAAACAUCUAAGUACCCCGAGGAAAAGAAAUCAACCGAGAUUCCCCCAGUAGCGGCGAGCGAACGGGGAGCAGCCCGGAGUCUGAAUCAGCUUGUGUGUUAGUGGAAGCGUCUGGAAAGUCGCACGGUACAGGGUGACAGUCCCGUACACGAAAAUGCACAGGUUGUGAACUCGAAGAGUAGGGCGGGACACGUGGUAUCCUGUCUGAAUAUGGGGGGACCAUCCUCCAAGGCUAAAUACUCCUGACUGACCGAUAGUGAACCAGUACCGUGAGGGAAAGGCGAAAAGAACCCCGGCGAGGGGAGUGAAAAAGAACCUGAAACCGUGUACGUACAAGCAGUGGGAGCACCUUCGGGUGUGACUGCGUACCUUUUGUAUAAUGGGUCAGCGACUUAUAUUCUGUAGCAAGGUUAACCGUAUAGGGGAGCCGAAGGGAAACCGAGUCUUAACUGGGCGUUAAGUUGCAGGGUAUAGACCCGAAACCCGGUGAUCUAGCCAUGGGCAGGUUGAAGGUUGGGUAACACUAACUGGAGGACCGAACCGACUAAUGUUGAAAAAUUAGCGGAUGACCUGUGGCUGGGGGUGAAAGGCCAAUCAAACCGGGAGAUAGCUGGUUCUCCCCGAAAGCUAUUUAGGUAGCGCCUCGUGAACUCAUCUUCGGGGGUAGAGCACUGUUUCGGCUAGGGGGCCAUCCCGGCUUACCAACCCGAUGCAAACUACGAAUACCGAAGAAUGUUAUCACGGGAGACACACGGCGGGUGCUAACGUCCGUCGUGAAGAGGGAAACAACCCAGACCGCCAGCUAAGGUCCCAAAGUCAUGGUUAAGUGGGAAACGAUGUGGGAAGGCACAGACAGCCAGGAUGUUGGCUUAGAAGCAGCCAUCAUUUAAAGAAAGCGUAAUAGCUCACUGGUCGAGUCGGCCUGCGCGGAAGAUGUAACGGGGCUAAACCAUGCACCGAAGCUGCGGCAGCGACGCUUAUGCGUUGUUGGGUAGGGGAGCGUUCUGUAAGCCGUCGAAGGUGUGCUGUGAGGCAUGCUGGAGGUAUCAGAAGUGCGAAUGCUGACAUAAGUAACGAUAAAGCGGGUGAAAAGCCCGCUCGCCGGAAGACCAAGGGUUCCUGUCCAACGUUAAUCGGGGCAGGGUGAGUCGACCCCUAAGGCGAGGCCGAAAGGCGUAGUCGAUGGGAAACAGGUUAAUAUUCCUGUACUUGGUGUUACUGCGAAGGGGGGACGGAGAAGGCUAUGUCAGCCGGGCGACGGUUGUCCCGGUUUAAGCGUGUAGGUGUGUGUUCCAGGCAAAUCCGGUUCACUUUAACACUGAGGCGUGAUGACGAGGCACUACGGUGCUGAAGUGAUAAAUGCCCUGCUUCCAGGAAAAGCCUCUAAGCAUCAGGUAACACGAAAUCGUACCCCAAACCGACACAGGUGGUCAGGUAGAGAAUACCAAGGCGCUUGAGAGAACUCGGGUGAAGGAACUAGGCAAAAUGGUGCCGUAACUUCGGGAGAAGGCACGCUGAUAUGUAGGUGAAGUCCCUGCGGACGGAGCUGAAAUCAGUCGAAGAUACCAGCUGGCUGCAACUGUUUAUUAAAAACACAGCACUGUGCAAACACGAAAGUGGACGUAUACGGUGUGACGCCUGCCCGGUGCCGGAAGGUUAAUUGAUGGGGUUAGCGGCAACGCGAAGCUCUUGAUCGAAGCCCCGGUAAACGGCGGCCGUAACUAUAACGGUCCUAAGGUAGCGAAAUUCCUUGUCGGGUAAGUUCCGACCUGCACGAAUGGCGUAAUGAUGGCCAGGCUGUCUCCACCCGAGACUCAGUGAAAUUGAACUCGCUGUGAAGAUGCAGUGUACCCGCGGCAAGACGGAAAGACCCCGUGAACCUUUACUAUAGCUUGACACUGAACACUGGUCCUUGAUGUGUAGGAUAGGUGGGAGGCUUUGAAGCGUGGACGCCAGUCUGCGUGGAGCCGUCCUUGAAAUACCACCCUUUAAUGGCUGGUGUUCUAACGUGGACCCGUAAUCCGGGUUGCGGACAGUGUCUGGUGGGUAGUUUGACUGGGGCGGUCUCCUCCCAAAGAGUAACGGAGGAGCACGAAGGUUAGCUAAUCCUGGUCGGACAUCAGGAGGUUAGUGCAAUGGCAUAAGCUAGCUUGACUGCGAGAGUGACGGCUCGAGCAGGUGCGAAAGCAGGUCAUAGUGAUCCGGUGGUUCUGAAUGGAAGGGCCAUCGCUCAACGGAUAAAAGGUACUCCGGGGAUAACAGGCUGAUACCGCCCAAGAGUUCAUAUCGACGGCGGUGUUUGGCACCUCGAUGUCGGCUCAUCACAUCCUGGGGCUGAAGUAGGUCCCAAGGGUAUGGCUGUUCGCCAUUUAAAGUGGUACGCGAGCUGGGUUUAGAACGUCGUGAGACAGUUCGGUCCCUAUCUGCCGUGGGCGCUGGAGAAUUGAGGGGGGCUGCUCCUAGUACGAGAGGACCGGAGUGGACGCAUCACUGGUGUUCGGGUUGUCAUGCCAAUGGCACUGCCCGGUAGCUAAAUGCGGAAGAGAUAAGUGCUGAAAGCAUCUAAGCACGAAACUUGCCCCGAGAUGAGUUCUCCCUGAGACUUUAAGUCUCCUGAAGGAACGUUGAAGACGACGACGUUGAUAGGCCGGGUGUGUAAGCGCAGCGAUGCGUUGAGCUAACCGGUACUAAUGAACCGUGAGGCUUAACCUU
This 2904-nucleotide ribosomal RNA is filed under the name Enterobacter cloacae complex sp. I11. RNAcentral describes it as "23S ribosomal RNA". It matches the Rfam family "Bacterial large subunit ribosomal RNA". Lineage: Bacteria; Pseudomonadati; Pseudomonadota; Gammaproteobacteria; Enterobacterales; Enterobacteriaceae. The record is from RNAcentral.